UUAACGCAAAUUUGUAUGGAGUCGGAACGUUUGCUUACGUUUGCCGCUAGGGGCGCUGUUACAACUCCAUACAAAUUUGAGUUA
Molecule: non-coding RNA, 84 nt
Organism: Bombyx mori (domestic silkworm)
Lineage: Eukaryota; Metazoa; Arthropoda; Insecta; Lepidoptera; Bombycidae
Source: Rfam